CUUCUUAGUUGGAUUUGCAACUGAUGUGGAUGCUGUGGUUUACCUGAUGCUGGUCAAUGAUGUCAUUCAUGGACUUUAUCCCGAGGCUGUUAGCAUUGGUGAAGAUGUCAGUGGAAUGCCAGCAUUCUAUAUUCCUGUCCAAGACGGUGGCGUGGGCUUUGAUUACCGGCUUCACAUGGCAAUUGCUGAUAAAUGGAUUGAGCUUCUCAAGUAAGUUACUGAGAAGAUACCACUGGACUUCCUUGAAACUAGAAAUCUUCUGCAUAUACUUGUCACUUUUUGAAGAUUGCAAUUGUAGAUAUUACAUUAUGAGGAGAAUUUCUUUGUGCGUAGUUAUUAAAUCAUGGAAAAAGAAAUGCUGAAGGGAAGAAAAAGUAAGAACAACAAAACAUGGUAGACACGCUACCACUGUGAAGCAUGGAGUCAGAAGCGGAACUUGUCUAUAAAUGUAAAAAGUCCCGAAGAAAAAGACAAUGUGGUGGUCUUAUUGUUCAUAUGUAGUUUUACUAGCAAAUAUAUCAUUGUCUGAGACAGCCACGAAUUUAUAAGGUAUCCUCUACCUCGUGGAGUAUAUUUCACUAUCUCUAUAUAUGACUUAUGCUUCUUAA
Carya illinoinensis is the source of this 608-nucleotide long non-coding RNA. RefSeq lists it as uncharacterized. The record is from RefSeq and is a predicted model, not a curated record. NCBI's taxonomy places the organism in Eukaryota, Viridiplantae, Streptophyta, Magnoliopsida, Fagales, Juglandaceae. The transcript is spliced from 2 exons.